RNA transcript from Lycium ferocissimum, 628 nucleotides. RefSeq lists it as uncharacterized. The transcript is spliced from 4 exons. Lineage: Eukaryota; Viridiplantae; Streptophyta; Magnoliopsida; Solanales; Solanaceae. The record is from RefSeq and is a predicted model, not a curated record.
UCUGUGAGAGGGGAGAGGAAGGGCAAGGGGAGAAGGACAAGUACUAGUUCAAUAAAGUCAAGUGUUGGUUCUUCUACAGUACCAAGUAAUUCCCAACCAAGUAGAGAAAGGGGAAGACUAAGAGGUUCUGCCAAACAGGGGUACAGGACAGUCGUCUACAUCACAGGCUUCUGAUGCAAGUGCAUCAGUUACUGGAAGAGGGGCACCCUUUAAGAGGCCAAGAGUUGUGGAAAUGGGAGUGCUUCAGACCCAAAGUGGUUUCAAAAUUGUCAAUCCUGGAAUGGCAAAUCAGUCUUCAACCAUGCCUAUGAAUUCAGCAGUAGUCACUAGUAGUCUUGGACAUCCCAAACCAAGACCAGGAGGACUAAAACGAAAAAGAAGUCCAGCUAUAACACAACAAGGUCUUCAACAAAUGAGUGGACAAAAGAGAAUGAAAACAAGGGCCAAAGCUGCUGAGUUGAACUCUUUAAGUCAAACAAGUUCAUCAGCUGCCCAGAAAUGAAAUGGAAAAAUGAAGUUGAAUUAGUUUAGUCCUGUAUGUGUAUGUCUUUGGUACUGACUGUUAUGCAGCAGUGACUACAGAUUUUCAUGUUUUUGUGAAACAAUUAUGGUAGAUGAUGUACAUUUG